AUAGUUUCCAUUAAAAAGUCAAGCCCUUAAAACAUUAAAAUUCGAGUGAGGAAAAAUAUCGACUUGGGUAAGAUCUUUGGGGCUCAACCCGCGUAAGCUUCCCCGCGUCAAGCCAUCGCCACGCCUUCAGUUCAUGCGAGCGGGUACAUGACCCCGCGUGAGACUGGUGUUGACGUCUCUUCCGGUGCGAGCGGGUAUGCGAUCCCGCGUCACUGAACCCGCGUGAGAUUGUCGAUGCGUCUUCCUGGCCUCGUCCAAGCCGCGUCGUGAACCUGCGGUCUCUUCCAUCACUGGCUCGACUCGCGGAGGUCGUCGCUUCAAGCUUCUGUCGUGGUGGUGGUUGAGCUCGUGCUCUCAGCUCGUGGUCGCGUGCUCAGCUCUUCGUCGCCGUCGAGAUCGAGCUUCAACGUCUCGGAGUUUCGACGCGACCAAGCUUCUUCGUCGCUUCUCGUCAUCGGCUUCUCCACCACGGGAUCUCUGGUCCAAGUCAUCUCCUCCUCGCCGUGAUCGGAUCUCCAGGCCGUGGUAUCCGCCUCCGCCGUCGUGCUCGUCAUCUGCUCGUAACGGAGGAAUCACGAUGCAACAAUGGUGGAUUUGAGACUUUUUGCACAUCUGGUCCUUAUUCUUUUGGCUAUUUACGAAUUGACCCCAAAACUAUCAAAAGUGCAGAAAGGUCCACCCGAAUCAACCCCAAAGUUUCCAAUCGUACGAUUUAGCCCAGGCGAAUAUUCAGAAUUUGCAACUUUGGUCCCUGGAUUCUUGUUAACAUCACAGUGGACCCAAAACUUCCAAAAUGUGCAAUUUAACCCUUGAAUUUCGCCCUAAACUUCCAAAUGAGCAUUCCAACCCUAUGAUAUGCAAAUGAGUAUGCAAAUGCAACACAAAGACUUAAAUGCAACCUAAAAUGAUCAUAAUAAGCUAAAAAAUGAAUCUAAAGCUUAUGAAAAUCAUGAGAUAUCAAUUACAACCUAUAAACAGUAUUUGUAAUGAAUUUUUUGCAGCCGAGAAUCUGACGUUGCCGUAUCUAACACCGUACUUGGAUUCGGUUGGAGCUAAUUAUCGGCAUGGGGCUAAUUUUGCGACUGGCGGUUCUUGCAUCCGCCCCACCGUUGCUUGUUUUAGUCAGUUCCAUCUUGGAACUCAAGUGUCUCAGUUCAUUCACUUCAAGACUCGUACAUUGUCUCUUUACAACCAAACCAACGGAAAAACUCCAUUCUGCAAAGGAGUCCUUGCACGGCCUAAAGAUUUCUCAAAGGCUCUUUAUACUUUCGAUAUCGGUCAGAAUGAUCUCGCCAUCGGGUUCCAAAACAUGACAGAGGAACAACUCAAAGCAACUAUACCGGCAAUCAUCGAAAGCUUCACUACUGCUAUAAAAGUAAGUAACAAAAUGAACGGUAUGAUUAUCAUAAAGUUCAAUAUUACUCAUCUAAAUUUUUUAAUGACAUCAUACUUUAUAGUUUAUACUGAUUGGUAUAUAUUUUUUUAGUUGCUGUUCAAAGAAGGAGCAAGAUUCUUCUCAAUUCACAACACCGGACCAACGGGUUGUUUACCCUAUCUUCUGAAAUCAUUUCCGGCUACACCGCGAGAUCAGUAUGGUUGCUUGAAGCCUCUAAACAAUGUGGCAAUUGAGUUCAACAAACAACUCAAGCAGAAAAUCUCUGAACUGAACAAAGAGUUACCUUAUUCUCUCUUAACUUAUGUUGAUGUCUACUCAGCCAAAAGCCAUUUGAUCACCAAAGCAAAGAAUCUUGGUUUUGUUGAUCCUUUUGAUUAUUGUUGCGUUGGGGCGGUCGGACGUGGAAUGGGAUGCGGAAAGACAAUAUUUCCAAAUGGAACAGAACUUUAUAGUUCUUCGUGCCAAAACCGAAAAAAUUUCAUAAGCUGGGAUGGUAUACAUUACUCGGAAACCGCGAAUAUGCUAGUCGCAAAUCGGAUCCUCGAUGGAUCAAUAUCCAAUCCGCCUAUCCCAACCCAAAAAGCUUGCAAGCUUACGAAAAAUGUAGUUGGCAAAAUAUGAAUUAAUAAAUGUUUAAGAAUAGCCGAAUGGUUUGAUUCUGCCGUUAUCUAAUCAUUGUCGACUGUUGGAGGGUGCUCUUUUCUUUUAACUCGUUCGCAGCUCGAAACCCUAUUAGAUACUCCCUCAGUUCCACGAAGAUAAUUUUUUUAGUAUUUUCACACAUAUUAAGAAAACACUGCCAUAAUAAAUGUAUAAUUUUAUGUAAUUUUUAAUUUUCAAUAACUUUUAACCAAUAAUAAUUCAAUAAAGUCAAUUAAUUUUCUUGAAGUUUACAAUUUUUUCAUAGAAAACACAAAAAAUAUAUCUUUCUCAAAACAAACUUUUUUUCUAAAAAAUUUAUCGUUAAGGAACGGAGGGAGUGUUAUUUAGUACUUCCUCUGUUUCAAUUUUCUUUUUGUCACCACUUCUUCUGUUUCAAUAUAUUUGAUGUUUUAGAUUAUUUUUUAUUUCAUGAUUAAAUUUUGUUUUCGUCAAUUGUAAUUGUUUCUUUCUAUUUAUAAUUAAAUAAAUUGAUUUUUAAUUAUAUUUUAAUGAUAUUUCUGAUAAAAAAGAUACUUCCUCCAUUUCAAAUAGAUGUUUUCAUGAAGUUUUUGAAGUUUCAAAAUAGACUAUGUUUUUAUAUUUCAAUGUGACUUUUAACUUUAUCAAAAACUGUGUAACCAAUGAUAUUUUGUAUUUUAUUUUGUAAUUGGUUGAAUAAUUUUAAAUUUAUAUUUAAUGAUACUUUUUAAACGAAAAAUAAGUUUCUUAAUUGUUGUGCAUUAGCGUAAAACUUCAUGUAUUUUGAUAUAUAAUGAUUAGUUUUCUUAAUAUUUGUUCAUGUGUAAAACAUUAUAUAAUAUGAAACAUUAUCAUUAUUCAAUAUUCUCUCCAUUUCUAAAUAUAAGAUGUUUAAAGAGUUUUUGAUGUUUUAAUGUGUAAGAUGUUCCAUAAAUAAUCUUUUGACAUUGUUAAAAUUUGUGUAACCAAUUAUAUUUACUAGUCUAUUUUGUAAUUGAUUGAAUAGUUUAUAAUUAUAGUUUUAUGUCCUAUUAGAUUAAAAAAUAAUUUUUUUAAUAUGCAUGUUUUAGAUGAAACAUUUUAUAUUUAGGAACGGAUAGAAUAACUUUUGGGUUAAUGUUUUUUGUUCUUUAUUUUCUUUUAACUCAAAGCAACUAUAUCGGCAAUCAUCGGAAGCUUCACUACUGCUAUGAAUAGAUGUUUCAAAAUUAUUUUCCAAUUAGAAAGAUAUAUAAUAUAGGCAAAAAACCCACCAAACUGAACCACAUAUAUAGGUAAAAAUAAAUUCCAUCGUAAAACUAAAAUCCAAAAAGCUUAUUGAUUUUCUUGGUCAAACAAGCAUCUUUAAAUCUUUUUAAAGGUUCUCUGAAUUUACAUUUUUAUCAAAUUACUUUUCUUUCCCACCUUUUACAAGCAAAAAAACAAAAGAGAAGAACAUUAUGUUUGCUUUAGGUGUACGAAUGGUUGUGGAGGAAGGUUGACUGCCUCAUAGUGGCUUCAUGUUUUUCCAAUGAGUCCAUGGCCAAUUCAUUCUUGUAUGCAUGUAUCUCUUUCUAUUUAGAUUUCAGUGAAGUUAAAGAAUAAUGAGAAAUGUUAUACCUCGAUUUAUAGAGGAAAAUAAUCUUUAAAACUAGCUAGAC
Molecule: long non-coding RNA, 3657 nt
Organism: Brassica napus (rape)
Lineage: Eukaryota; Viridiplantae; Streptophyta; Magnoliopsida; Brassicales; Brassicaceae
Exons: 3
Source: RefSeq, a predicted model, not a curated record